This 73-nucleotide transfer RNA is filed under the name Cricetulus griseus (Chinese hamster). It matches the Rfam family "tRNA". From Rfam's summary of the family: Transfer RNA (tRNA) molecules are approximately 80 nucleotides in length. Their secondary structure includes four short double-helical elements and three loops (D, anti-codon, and T loops). Further hydrogen bonds mediate the characteristic L-shaped molecular structure. tRNAs have two regions of fundamental functional importance: the anti-codon, which is responsible for specific mRNA codon recognition, and the 3' end, to which the tRNAs corresponding amino acid is attached (by aminoacyl-tRNA synthetases). tRNAs cope with the degeneracy of the genetic code in two manners: having more than one tRNA (with a specific anti-codon) for a particular amino acid; and 'wobble' base-pairing, i.e. permitting non-standard base-pairing at the 3rd anti-codon position. Lineage: Eukaryota; Metazoa; Chordata; Mammalia; Rodentia; Cricetidae. The record is from Rfam by way of RNAcentral.
ACCUGGAUAGCUCAGUUGGUAGAUCAUGAGAUUCUUAAUCUCUGGAUUUUGGGUUUGAGCCCCACAUUGGGUG